This 518-nucleotide long non-coding RNA is filed under the name Rosa chinensis. Its description in RNAcentral is "sRNA RchiOBHm_Chr1g0315281". The record is from RNAcentral. Lineage: Eukaryota; Viridiplantae; Streptophyta; Magnoliopsida; Rosales; Rosaceae.
AUGUUUCGUGUGAGUUGUUGGGAUUACUAUGAUUUUGUUUAAUUAUUGUUGUGAGUACAGUGGUGUUGUGGGAUUUGGAGUAAUGUGAAAUGAGUUGUGAUGCCCUAAGGUUGGUAGUUGGUUUAUAUUGUGAGACAUUUAGCAUGAUGUCGUGGUUGUGCCGUUGAGGCAAAGGAAUGGUGAUCAGAUAGAUUGUGGGGACGUAAAAUGUUUAAAAUGUUGGGAGUUAUUUGUAUAGUUGGAGAUUGCGGGAAGUGAGAUAAAAUGAUUUGAGAGACAGAGCAUGUGGAUUUUAGUUGGGUUGAAAUUAUUGAGCAUGAGAAAGAUUUAUUUGAACUUGAUGUUUUUGUUGUGAUGAUUGCUUAUUGAUUUUGUUAGACUGAGAUAGUGAAAGCAUGUUUUUGUGGAAUUAAAUGUUAAUGCUUUAAUUAUCUCACGAAUUGAGGAAUUAUAAGCAUGAGUGACGUGAGUCACUUUAAUUGAGUUUACUCAUACGGGCUGAAAAGCUUACCGGGUUU